This 497-nucleotide ribosomal RNA is filed under the name uncultured bacterium. RNAcentral's name for it is "partial 16S ribosomal RNA". It matches the Rfam family "Bacterial small subunit ribosomal RNA", at positions 28 to 507 of the family's 1533-position model. The record is from RNAcentral.
GAUGAACGCUGGCGGCGUGCCUAAUACAUGCAAGUCCAGCGAACAGACGAGGAGCUUGCUCCUCUGACGUUAGCGGCGGACGGGUGAGUAACACGUGGAUAACCUACCUAUAAGACUGGGAUAACUUCGGGAAACCGGAGCUAAUACCGGAUAAUAUAUUGAACCGCAUGGUUCAAUAGUGAAAGACGGUUUUGCUGUCACUUAUAGAUGGAUCCGCGCCGCAUUAGCUAGUUGGUAAGGUAACGGCUUACCAAGGCAACGAUGCGUAGCCGACCUGAGAGGGUGAUCGGCCACACUGGAACUGAGACACGGUCCAGACUCCUACGGGAGGCAGCAGUAGGGAAUCUUCCGCAAUGGGCGAAAGCCUGACGGAGCAACGCCGCGUGAAUGAUGAAGGUCUUCGGAUCGUAAAACUCUGUUAUUAGGGAAGAACAAAUGUGUAAGUAACUAUGCACGUCUUGACGGUACCUAAUCAGAAAGCCACGGCUAACUACGUG